UGGAACAAUAGGUUGACCGUUGAUUCGAAUACCCCCCAACUCAUCACCUACAGCAUAGUUGUUGACGGGUACGGCAGUAGCAUCAUUGUUAUCAUUGACCGGGCCUCCCUCUGGCGGAGCAUUGUUGAUCGGUGGAUUUGCAGCCUCUUGUCUCUAAACCAUAGCUCGAAGUUCUUCUUGACCUUGCGCAACCCCUUGCAUCAUAUUCAUAAAUUGGGCCAUGCUAGCCUUCAUUUCAGCCAACU
This 245-nucleotide long non-coding RNA is filed under the name Lathyrus oleraceus (garden pea). Its description in RNAcentral is "Pisum sativum (pea) long non-coding RNA (PSAT_LNC016717)". The record is from RNAcentral. Lineage: Eukaryota; Viridiplantae; Streptophyta; Magnoliopsida; Fabales; Fabaceae.